RNAcentral lists this ribosomal RNA (414 nucleotides) under uncultured microorganism. Its description in RNAcentral is "bacterial SSU rRNA". It matches the Rfam family "Archaeal small subunit ribosomal RNA", at positions 459 to 872 of the family's 1478-position model. The record is from RNAcentral.
CAGCCGCCGCGGUAAUACCGGCGGCCCGAGUGGCGGUCACUAUUAUUGGGCUUAAAGCGUCCGUAGCCGGGUUGUGAAGUCCUCCGGGAAAUCUGGCCGCUUAACGGUCAGAAUGCCGGAGGAUACUCCCAGCCUAGGGAGCGGGAGAGGCCGAGGGGAUUCCCGGGGUAGGGGGGAAAUCCUAUAAUCCCGGGCGGACCACCUGUGGCGAAGGCGCUCGGCUGGAACGCGUCCGACGGUGAGGGACGAAGGCCAGGGGAGCAAACCGGAUUAGAUACCCGGGUAGUCCUGGCUGUAAACGAUGCGGACUAGGUGUCGGGCAAGCUAAGGGCUUGUCCGGUGCCGCAGGGAAGCCGUUAAGUCCGCCGCCUGGGGAGUACGGCCGCAAGGCUGAAACUUAAAGGAAUUGGCGGG